RNAcentral lists this ribosomal RNA (206 nucleotides) under uncultured bacterium. RNAcentral's name for it is "partial 16S ribosomal RNA". It matches the Rfam family "Bacterial small subunit ribosomal RNA", at positions 568 to 774 of the family's 1533-position model. The record is from RNAcentral.
CGCGUAGGCGGACUGGAAAGUCAGAGGUGAAAUCCCAGGGCUCAACCUUGGAACUGCCUUUGAAACUAUCAGUCUGGAGUUCGAGAGAGGUGAGUGGAAUUCCGAGUGUAGAGGUGAAAUUCGUAGAUAUUCGGAGGAACACCAGUGGCGAAGGCGGCUCACUGGCUCGAUACUGACGCUGAGGUGCGAAAGCGUGGGAGCAAACA